UUAUUCUUUAUAGCUUGCUAUGAGAAUAAUUAGUGGCAGACGGGUGAGUAAUGCAUAGGAAUCUACCUAGUAGUAUAGGAUAGCCACUAGAAAUGGUGGGUAAUACUGUAUAAUCCCUGCGGGGGAAAGAUUUAUCGCUACAUGAUGAGCCUAUGUUAGAUUAGCUAGUUGGUGGGGUAAUGGCCUACCAAGGCAGUGAUCUAUAGCUGGUCUGAGAGGAUGAUCAGCCACACUGGAACUGAGACACGGUCCAGACUCCUACGGGAGGCAGCAGUGGGGAAUAUUGGACAAUGGGCGCAAGCCUGAUCCAGCUAUGCCGCGUGAGUGAGGAAGGCCUUAGGGU
This 343-nucleotide ribosomal RNA is filed under the name Anaplasma phagocytophilum. Its description in RNAcentral is "bacterial SSU rRNA". It matches the Rfam family "Bacterial small subunit ribosomal RNA", at positions 67 to 423 of the family's 1533-position model. The record is from RNAcentral. Lineage: Bacteria; Pseudomonadati; Pseudomonadota; Alphaproteobacteria; Rickettsiales; Anaplasmataceae.